Molecule: transfer RNA, 72 nt
Filed under: Nippostrongylus brasiliensis
Lineage: Eukaryota; Metazoa; Nematoda; Chromadorea; Rhabditida; Heligmosomidae
Rfam family: tRNA
About the family: Transfer RNA (tRNA) molecules are approximately 80 nucleotides in length. Their secondary structure includes four short double-helical elements and three loops (D, anti-codon, and T loops).
Source: Rfam by way of RNAcentral
ACAUCGGUAGCACAGUGGCUAGUGCAGUCUGUCGGAAACAGAAAGGCGCGGGUUCAAUCCACGUACGAUGUU